This 1141-nucleotide long non-coding RNA is filed under the name Lathyrus oleraceus (garden pea). RNAcentral's name for it is "Pisum sativum (pea) long non-coding RNA (PSAT_LNC030930)". The record is from RNAcentral. Lineage: Eukaryota; Viridiplantae; Streptophyta; Magnoliopsida; Fabales; Fabaceae.
ACCAUCCCCAGCAAAAACUCCAGCACCAUAUGGAGAUCCACCUCUAACUGAAUCCAUUUCAAACAUUCCAGCACCAAAAGUAUAACCAAUUGGAACAUACAGCAUUCCAUGAUGAACUAGCUGUGUUAUUGCUGUCCACCUACAAUACAAUAGUAGUUACAUAAAAGUCAUGAUAUUAACUAUCACAAUAAUACAUUAAUGCAUGUCUGCAAAUUCUAGCUCAACUGUUCAAAAUGUUAAUAAUAUUAUGUUUGACGUCAACAGCAGAGUUCGAACCCUCACUCUCACAUUAAGUAUGUGAGUUUUAAUAAUUAUUACGACUUCGUCUACCACAAAAAAUCAUAAUAAUAUCAAUUUAUUUCUACCACAUAUUAAUUUAUUGGCUUGUCUAGAUAUUUUGCUCCAAAAUAAGAUCCUCUAUAUUUCAAAAAAGUUCUUCAAUCAUACCCCACCCUAAAUUAUAUUGGUUUGCACAAAACCAAAAGCACACGUGGUAUUGUACAAAAUUUUGUCCCCUAGUUUUCAUGAACUAUUAUUGUUUCUAAUGGAAUAAGAACAAUUUCCAACAAAAAGAACAUUUUGCAACAAGUUUUAAGCAAUCAAAUUAUGAUUAAAUAUGUAUUUUUAGUUCCUGUAUUUAGUCCCUCCAAAAUAGAACAAAAUUUAUGCAAUACUAAGUUUAGAAAAAUUAAUUUUUUAAUCAGUAAUAAUUACUAAAAAUUCACAUGAACACAAUCGUGCGUUCAAUCUAAUAAGAUCGAUUUUUCUUUCUGUUCAAUUAGAAUUACGAACUCAAAAAUAAAAUUUCAUAGAAAAACUUACGCAGUGGUUUCUUGGCCACCACCCUGAGUACCAGUGCUAACAAAAAACCCAGCAGGUAAACCAGCAAGCUUCUGUUCCCUCCACAACUGCCCGGUCGAAUCGAAAAACGCCUUCAUCUGCGCCGCCAUACUGCCAUACCUCGUCGGAAACCCGAACAACAACCCAUCAGCCUCCACCAAAUUCUCAGCAGAUAUCAAAGGAACCCCAUCAUCAACCUUCUCAGGUGCUUUCAUGAGUUCCAACACUUCCUUAGGAAGUGUCUCCACCACACGGUACAAAACCCCUUCCACACCAUCAACAGAAUCAACCCCUUUUUUCA